AUACGUAGGUGACAAGCGUUAUCCGGAUUUACUGGGCGUAAAGGGCGUGUAGGCGGUCUUGCAAGUCAGAAGUGAAAUUCCUGAGCUCAACUCGGGCGCUGCUUCUGAAACUGCAGGACUUGAGUGCUGGAGGGGAUAGCGGAAUUCCUAGUGGAGCGGUAAAAUGCGUAGAUAUUAGGAGGAACACCAGAGGCGAAGGCGGCUUACUGGACUGUAACUGACGUUGAGGCUCGAAGGCGUGGGGAGCAAACAGGAUUAGAUACCCUGGUAGUCCACGCGGUAAACGAUGAUCACUAGGUGUCGGCGGCCAUAGGCGGUCGGUGCCGCAGCAAACGCAAUAAGUGAUCCACCUGGGGAGUACGUUCGCAAGAAUGAAACUUAAAGGAAUUGACGGGG
This 396-nucleotide ribosomal RNA is filed under the name uncultured bacterium. RNAcentral's name for it is "partial 16S ribosomal RNA". It matches the Rfam family "Bacterial small subunit ribosomal RNA", at positions 523 to 918 of the family's 1533-position model. The record is from RNAcentral.